CAGACAUCCUUGUCAUAUGAUCUCAUGCGCUAACAGAUAACAUAAAAAAACGGACCAAGCCUUUUAAAUAAAACAAAGUCGAAAAACAGUAGCAGAACUCAAACAAGUUCAUCUUAACGCACAGAAAUCCUGUUUCUUUCCAUUUUGAAAGAUUUAACAGCAAGAUAUUAUCACAAACAAACAGGCGGCGGUAUUACUAAAUGAAAUCAAAUCGGAACAACAACCAUGGUUCCCUUAGAAGGAUGCAAAGCAGAAUCGAAACAUAUAAAUAAAACUCGGAAAGGAAGCUAACCGGUUGCGGCGAGCUCGACCGACGAAUGUAGGUAAACGCUUCUCGUUCGCUGUCAAGAAAGAUUUAAAGGAACUUCGGUGUAAUUUCAAUUAGGAGCGCCGCUUCAGAGAAAAGGAUAGGGCUUUUCUUUCUCUUCUUUAUGGUUUCCUCUGUUGUUGGGAUUUUUGCCGUUUCGCCGUCAAAGGAGUUCCUUAGGGAUUUGCUGUUUGAACAUUAGCCACUAAUGUUCUCUUGAAAAUUAGGGUUGUUGUGAAUAGUAAUCCCUCUUUUAUAUAUGACCCAUCUCUUUCCUCUGCUGUGUUUCCUACUGUGUAGUGGAGAGGCUUGUUUGUACAGAGGAUGUCUGGGGAGUUUUGUCCUUAUUCCACAUGUGGUCCCUCUUCCUCAAUUCUCUCCAUUUCCACUUCACUGUUGUGGCUUCGACAUGGAUUUUGAAUGAUGCUUUGGCAUGGUUUUCACAUGACUUUGGGUGCGAUUCGUUCGGAGGCAAAAUGUUGCGGCAUUGGCUUUGCCAUGGAAUUUGAUCGUGUCUUAGAAACAUCCGGAAUGGCUUCCAAGUUUCCCCUCUUAAACUUUCCAGUGGAAAAGACUACAUUGCUACUUACUGAACCCAGGGGCUUCGGAGAGUGCCUUGCAUAAAGAAGCAUGUAUGCUCUUUCUGACAAGACUCUUGACAAUUCAACAGGUUCUACCCUGCUGUCAUCAGUCCUGAACCAUUCUCCUUGGAUGUUCUUCACAUAACAAACAUAAUGUCCUGAAUAUGCAUCAUUCAUGCUAUUCAAAUGGACAACCACUGCAUAAAGACGGUAUAAUGGAGAUUUGCCUUUUAAUCCACUGAUAUAUGGAGCCAUAUUUAGGACUUCAGGAAAUUGAACAGACUUAUUCAACUUCUCAAAGUUACCGGACUGAAAUUGCUUUAAUACAAUCGUAAGAAUAUUCGGCACCUCUAAUACUGUUAGCUUCUUCUUGGCUUUCUCAUAUGAUUUACAUCUGCCACAAUUAUACUUAUUAUCCUUAUCUAGGAUUUCAGGCGCUGUAAAUUGUCCAAGAGACCAUCUAUACUCCACACCUUAAGAGUAUGAUCACUACUGCCACUAACAAAGAAGUCCUGUUUUUUUUUUUUGAAAAUGCAAUGGCUCCAACAGCUCCCAUGUGACCUAUGCCAGCUCCGAUGCAACUUGUACUUUCUGAGUCCCAUAACUUAACAGUGUUAUCUUUACUUCCAGUCACAAUUAAGUUUCUCCCAGAACUGUUCAAGAUUUGUAGCAAGAGCAAGGAACUUUUCAUCAUCCCCAACAAACUUCAUAUCUACGACCUCUUCAUUAUAUCCCACUAGUCUUUUGGUAAGAUUUAAUUGCAACAACUCUUCAAUCCAGUUCAGAAAGUAAAAUAUUGAAACUGCUAAUCUACAGUCACGCAAAGCAACCCUUGAUUCGAGCCAAGCAUAACAGCAGAAGUGAAACCCCUACGUGAACCAUCCUUGUCUGUGUCGUGCUUUAGUAACAAUAAUCUCAUCAAUGCAUUGCGUUUCAGAUACAGUUCUGUUCUAAUUGUUCGUGUUGCUAGCAGACUUCUUCAUUGGCUUGGAAAUGUUGAGGGAUUUAUAUGAGGUCAUGGUAUUAACAUGAGGUAGGCUACAAUGGUUUGUCUUUUUUUCUUGGUUACACAUGUUCGUCAUGCCGUGAGGUUUAUCCAAUAAUCCUGUUAAUGCUGCAGUAUUUCGCCACUGCAAGUUGGAUGAUAUGCUAUGCAAUAUCAGGUGGAAAUAAGGUUAUGACGAUGAUUGCACUGACUUUGUUUACAUCAUUUAGGUUUGAAAAUCCAGGAGACUCAUCAAGCUCUUUUAGAAUUGGUUUUGUUCAUGUUAGGACCAUUUAACUGAGUUUCAAUCUGAAGUGGUGAAGAAAUAUGCUCUGUCAAACCUGUUUUGUGACUGUGUUUUCCUGUUGAAGUUUGAAUGGUUUUUCUUUCAACCCUCUGUGUUGUAUCGUUGUCCUUUGGCGAACCACUUUUCUCAUGCAGUUCAUUGUUGCUUUCCACAUUGUCCCUCCAACAUUUAUUGCAGACUUCAGUAUGAAAGCAGUAGCUUGUUUAUAAUAAACACAACGGAGCCUGUUUUGGGUUGUUGAUAUUGCCGCAGCAAUUCUCAAGACAAAACAAUGAAAUGGUUGUAGUAUGGAAUCUCAGGAAGUGUUAGAUGCCAAAAUUUUAGCCUGAGUUCUGCAGUUGAUCAAUGUAACUCGCAGUGGUGAUAGUCACAGGUGUGCUACUUCUGUAAGCUUACAAACCAAGGUAUGCAUGCAUCUCAGAGCUUUCCCAUUGGUCUUUAGAGUUGACUAUGUUGCUGUUUGCAGAUCAAACUGUUUCACUUGGAUACUUUCAAAGGGAUCUUUUGUGUGGCCAGCAAUUGACAGGAGCUUAUUUCCCCAUGCAAUAAACCAAAGAAUGGCCGGCACAAGGGUCCAAAGUUGUAGAGGGUUCGUCUCCAGUUUUAGCCUCGAGCUUUGACCAAGUCCAUAAUCUCAAAUCCAAAAUUGUUAGAUAAGCGUUGUCCAUAGUAAUUUCCCAGAUUUUCCCUUCUUGUCCUGCUCCAAGUUCAAGCUCCGAAUCUCGAGUAGCAUUUGUAGCAUUUGGUACAGUAGAACCACUGUCUGGUAUGGAUUUUUUAUUUAUUUUGGAUUGUAAGGUGGAUUUGUGGCUUGGUUUAAGAACACAUACUUCAUUGUUGUAACGUCCAUUGUAUCCUCCAAAAGAUACAAGUACAUCUUCUCCAUCAUUCGAACUUACAACCAAACUCAAACCCUCACUAGCAACAGAGACACGCCCUUGAACAGAUGUUACUGCUGACCAAGCCAGUGUAGACAUGUUCAGUACAACCGUCUCCGAAGAAGAGCAAGUAUCGCUCCACAUGUACAGCAGCAGCAUGAUCAGGCCUUGGGGAAGGAGGCACUCCAACGGCAUCAAUUUCGUCCCAAGUCAUGGUUUCCAAGUCCAGAAUAUGCAGGUCAUUUAAGAGAGCCCUUUUUGCAUCUUAGAAACUUCAUGUAUUCAUGUGAUGAGAUGUUUUUUUUUAUUAUUAUAAGUUAUUCAUAUGCCAUGUACAUGAAUGAUUAUGAUUGAAUGAAUGAGCGAAGUAAUCGAACUAUGAAUGAGUAUGUGGAAAUUCUUGAA
Molecule: long non-coding RNA, 3463 nt
Organism: Lathyrus oleraceus (garden pea)
Lineage: Eukaryota; Viridiplantae; Streptophyta; Magnoliopsida; Fabales; Fabaceae
Exons: 2
Source: RefSeq, a predicted model, not a curated record